GGGCGUUAGAGAUUUGAGUAGAGUUGCUCCUCGUACGAGAGGACCGGAGUGAACGAACCACUGGCGUUCCGGUUGUUUCGCCAGAAGCAUUUCCGGGUAGCUACGUUUGGACGGGAUAAACGCUGAAAGCAUCUAAGCGUGAAGCCUCCUUAAAGAUUAGAUCUCUCUGAUGAAAAUCAGUAAGGAACGUUGGAGACUACGACGUUGAUAGGCUGGUUGUGGAAGUACAGCAAUGUAUGAAGCUUACCAGUACUAAUG
RNAcentral lists this ribosomal RNA (258 nucleotides) under Francisella tularensis subsp. holarctica. RNAcentral describes it as "partial 23S ribosomal RNA". It matches the Rfam family "Bacterial large subunit ribosomal RNA", at positions 2649 to 2906 of the family's 2925-position model. The record is from RNAcentral. Lineage: Bacteria; Pseudomonadati; Pseudomonadota; Gammaproteobacteria; Thiotrichales; Francisellaceae.